ACACGUAGGGGGCGAGCGUUGUUCGGAAUCAUUGGGCGUAAAGGGCGCGCAGGCGGCCCGGUAAGUCUGGUGUAAAAUGGUCGUGCUCAACACGAUCAUGCGCUGGAAACUGCUGGGCUUGAGUCAACGAGGGGAUGCCGGAAUUCCAGGUGUAGGGGUGAAAUCUGUAGAUAUCUGGAAGAACACCGAUGGCGAAGGCAUGCAUCUGGCGACUGACUGACGCUGAGGCGCGAAGGUGCGGGGAGCAAACAGGUUGAGAUCCCCUGGUAGUCCGCACAGUAAACGAUGUGCACCAGGUGGCGGGCAGCAGUGCUCGGUACCGAAGCAAACGCAUUAAGUGCACCGCCUGGGGAGUAUGCUCGCAAGGGUGAAACUCAAAGGAAGUGACGGGG
RNAcentral lists this ribosomal RNA (392 nucleotides) under uncultured bacterium. RNAcentral describes it as "partial 16S ribosomal RNA". It matches the Rfam family "Bacterial small subunit ribosomal RNA", at positions 523 to 918 of the family's 1533-position model. The record is from RNAcentral.